RNAcentral lists this ribosomal RNA (253 nucleotides) under uncultured bacterium. Its description in RNAcentral is "partial 16S ribosomal RNA". It matches the Rfam family "Bacterial small subunit ribosomal RNA", at positions 524 to 776 of the family's 1533-position model. The record is from RNAcentral.
UACGUAGGGUGCAAGCGUUAUCCGGAAUUAUUGGGCGUAAAGAGCUCGUAGGCGGUUUGUCGCGUCUGCCGUGAAAGUCCGGGCUCAACUCCGGAUCUGCGGUGGGUACGGGCAGACUAGAGUGCAGUAGGGGAGACUGGAAUUCCUGGUGUAGCGGUGAAAUGCGCAGAUAGUCAGGAGGAACACCGAUGGCGAAGGCAGGUCUCUGGGCUGUAACUGACGCUGGAGGAGCGAAAGCAUGGGAGCGAACAGG